RNAcentral lists this ribosomal RNA (512 nucleotides) under uncultured bacterium. RNAcentral's name for it is "bacterial SSU rRNA". It matches the Rfam family "Bacterial small subunit ribosomal RNA", at positions 29 to 518 of the family's 1533-position model. The record is from RNAcentral.
AACGAACGCUGGCGGCGUGCUUAACACAUGCAAGUCGAACGCGAAAGGGACUUACGGUCCUGAGUAAAGUGGCGCACGGGUGAGUAACGCGUAGAUAACCUGUCUUCAUGUCUGGAAUAAUACGCCGAAAGGGGUACUAAUACCGGAUAUUCUUGCUUUUCAUAAGUUAUGCAAGCAAAGGUGGCCUCUGCAUAUGCUACUGCAUGAAGAGGGGUCUGCGUACCAUUAGCUAGUAGGUGGGGUAAUGGCCUACCUAGGCGACGAUGGUUAGCGGGUCUGAGAGGAUGAUCCGCCACACUGGCACUGGAACACGGGCCAGACUCCUACGGGAGGCAGCAGUGAGGAAUAUUGCGCAAUGGGGGAAACCCUGACGCAGCGACGCCGCGUGAGUGAAGGAAGGCCUUCGGGUCGUAAAGCUCUGUCAAGAGGAAAGAAGUGUACAAUGGCUAAUACCUGUUGUAUUUGACGGUACCUCUAAAGGAAGCACCGGCUAACUCCGUGCCAGCCGCAGC